RNAcentral lists this ribosomal RNA (430 nucleotides) under Pseudomonadota bacterium. RNAcentral describes it as "Proteobacteria bacterium partial 16S ribosomal RNA". It matches the Rfam family "Bacterial small subunit ribosomal RNA", at positions 355 to 776 of the family's 1533-position model. Lineage: Bacteria; Pseudomonadati; Pseudomonadota. The record is from RNAcentral.
UGGGGAAUAUUGGACAAUGGGGGGAACCCUGAUCCAGCCAUGCCGCGUGUGUGAAGAAGGCCUUAUGGUUGUAAAGCACUUUAAGCGAGGAGGAGGGUACUGGUAUUAAUACUACCAGCUACUGGACGUUACUCGCAGAAUAAGCACCGGCUAACUCUGUGCCAGCAGCCGCGGUAAUACAGAGGGUGCGAGCGUUAAUCGGAUUUACUGGGCGUAAAGCGUGCGUAGGCGGCUAAUUGAGUCGGAUGUGAAAUCCCCGAGCUUAACUUGGGAAUUGCAUUCGAUACUGGUUAGCUAGAGUGUGGGAGAGGAUGGUAGAAUUCCAGGUGUAGCGGUGAAAUGCGUAGAGAUCUGGAGGAAUACCGAUGGCGAAGGCAGCCAUCUGGCCUAACACUGACGAUGAGGUACGAAAGCAUGGGGAGCAAACAGG